RNAcentral lists this ribosomal RNA (253 nucleotides) under uncultured bacterium. RNAcentral's name for it is "partial 16S ribosomal RNA". It matches the Rfam family "Bacterial small subunit ribosomal RNA", at positions 524 to 776 of the family's 1533-position model. The record is from RNAcentral.
UACGUAGGAGGCGAGCGUUGUCCGGAGUUACUGGGCGUAAAGGGUGCGCAGGCGGCUGUUUACGUUUGCCGUGAAAUCUCCUGGCUUACCUGGGAGGGUGCGGUGAAAACGGGACGGCUUGAGGCUCGGGGAGGGGCGUGGAAUUCCGGGUGGAGCGGUGAAAUGCGUAGAGAUCCGGAGGAACACCGACGGCGAAAGCACUCUGCUGGGCCGACACUGACACUGAGAGACGAAAGCUAGGGGAGCGAAUGGG